UUCCUUUAGCUUAACAUAUCAAAAGCGUAUCUCUGAAGAAGAUAAAAUUAUAGGAAAAU
Molecule: transfer RNA, 59 nt
Filed under: Trichuris suis (pig whipworm)
Lineage: Eukaryota; Metazoa; Nematoda; Enoplea; Trichinellida; Trichuridae
Description: tRNA-Phe
Source: RNAcentral